RNAcentral lists this ribosomal RNA (353 nucleotides) under Cohnella pontilimi. Its description in RNAcentral is "Bacterial small subunit ribosomal RNA". It matches the Rfam family "Bacterial small subunit ribosomal RNA", at positions 1 to 340 of the family's 1533-position model. The record is from Rfam by way of RNAcentral. Lineage: Bacteria; Bacillati; Bacillota; Bacilli; Caryophanales; Paenibacillaceae.
UUUAUGGAGAGUUUGAUCCUGGCUCAGGACGAACGCUGGCGGCGUGCCUAAUACAUGCAAGUCGAGCGGAUCUCUGAAGGAGCUUGCUCCUGAUGAGAUUAGCGGCGGACGGGUGAGUAACACGUAGGCAACCUGCCUGCAAGACCGGGAUAACAUUCGGAAACGGAUGCUAAGACCGGAUACGCAGUUUCCCCGCAUGGGGAGAUUGGGAAAGACGGAGCAAACUGUCGCUUGCAGAUGGGCCUGCGGCGCAUUAGCUAGUUGGUGAGGUAACGGCUCACCAAGGCGACGAUGCGUAGCCGACCUGAGAGGGUGAACGGCCACACUGGGACUGAGACACGGCCCAGACUCCU